Molecule: long non-coding RNA, 5471 nt
Filed under: Canis lupus familiaris (dog)
Lineage: Eukaryota; Metazoa; Chordata; Mammalia; Carnivora; Canidae
Description: lncRNA (ENSCAFG00845017946.1)
Source: RNAcentral
AAUGACUAUCUAAGCCCAUGUCAGUGAGAUCUUGCAGUCACUCCAUAAAGAGAUGGAGUCUAUAUUCUCUUGUCUUGAUGCUUUGAACUCAUUUUGGUGAGUACACUGUCAAAAGUUGAAUGUAUGCCAAUUCCUAGCCUAGUGUUCAAGAGGCCUUUCAAAUUUCCACUUGCCUUCUUGGAACUUUAGCAUUAACUGGGGAACAAGCCUGGGACAGUUUCCAGAAAAAAGUUAGCAUAGCGGGUCUGAAGUUACUAUCCUUGGAAAGACUUGCUUGCAAGAUGGGCCCUAAACUGGCAUCUGAAAACUUGGAUUUCUCAAAUAUUCCUCCCACUGAAACUAUUAAGAGUGGCUCACUGUGCUUAAAAUAUUUGUUUAAGCAAUAUGGUUUAUGUUGAACUCCUGCUUUUGUUCUGAGAGUGUGGAAUUUUGGUAUGUGCCAGGUAGAGGGUACGUAAUUACAUGACCAGCCCCUACCACAAAUCCUGGGCAUUGAGUCUCCAGUGAAAUUCCCUGGUAGACAACAUUUCAGAUGUGUUGUCACAGUUCAUUGCUGGAGGAAUUAAGCACAGUCCUAUGUGAUUCGACUAAGAGAGGACUCUGAAACUUGUACCUUGUCUCCUGAGGACUUUGCCUCACAGGCCUUUGCUUUUGCUGAUUUUACUUUGUAUCCUUUUGCAUAAUAAACCACAGCCACGAGUUUGACUAUUUGCUGAGGCUUUUGUGAGUUCUCCUAGUGAAUCACUGAAUCUCUGGAGUCGUCUUGGGAAUCCCUGGCAUGGAUAGACUGCUGAGGAAUGAAAGACAACAUGAAUCAGAGAAAAUUUUCCCACUUGAGGUUAUCUUAAAUCAGCUAACAGUCAGCUAACUGCCAGAUGUGAGUGAGCCCCAGAUGAGCAUCCAGAGAUGGGAGCAAGUUUGGAUUAUUUUCAGGGUUAAGGUUGAUUAUCUUAUUCUCCUUUCCCCUGGCACACAACGGGUGCUUAGUUGGGCAUUAAAUAUGUGGCUGAUUGGCUUAGCUAUUUAGUAAUGUGUGCUAACAUCAGUGCUGAUUACCAGAAUUUCUUUCUUCAAAAUAAAAUAGCCAGGAAGAAUUGCUUCACAGAGCAUCUUGAGGAAUCAUCACAGCAAAACUAGGGGUAAGAAAAUAGUCCUCCUUCGGCUGAAUCAGUCCAGUGCCAUAACGUAGGUGAGAACAGGCAAUAUUAGGUAGAUAGGCAGCACUUAAUUAAGAUAAAGUUCAGAAUGAGCCUUAAGCUACUAUUCCCCCAGGACCCCUGUUCCAUCACCUCAUGCAACUUAGGCACCCAUACAUGUGGGAAGGGAAUGGAAAUUGCAGAAAAUGAAUCAAAAUGAUGAAGAUGAGGAUGGUUACAAUUAAAUAAAUGUGCACAUUGGUAAACUGCUCCUGUCAUUUGAAUCAAUACUUCCUUCUUGAUCUCAGAGUGCUGCUAUUCUUCAUUAUAGGACAAUAAUGUAUAAGAAUUAGGUAAGAAGAACUGAUAUAUAAUUAUAUGUCUUUUUGGAGGAUCUUAAAAAGAAGACAUUUGAAUUUUUCACAUAAAUCAAUACAUAUACAAAAAUGUCUUAAAAUGAUUCAAAUUUAGUGAAAGAAGUACAUGAUUACAUAGCUCUUUUAUAAAAUAUGAAAAAUCUGGAGGGUGUUUAAGAUAUAAUAACAUUAUUACAUAUUAAUUUGAGCUUAUUCUUCAAGAAAAAAAUCGUAAUUACUAUCAUAUGAAUUUGUAACCAUAAAAUGUUAUAUCACAAGUUUUUAUUCAUUAGCCCAGGUUAAAUACAUAAUUUGAACAAAUUGAAGAGGAAUUAUAGGGUCCCUGGGUGGCCCAAUGGGUAAAGCUUCCAACUCUUGAUUUUGGCUCUUGUCAUGAUCUCAGGAUCCUGGCAUCAAGCCCCAGUGCAGGCUCUGCACUUGGGAGUGGAGUCUGCUUGUCCCUCUCACUCUGCUUUCCUCUCCCUGGAAUAAAAAAUAAAAUCUUAAAAAAAAAAAAAAAAAACAACAGGAAUUACAAGGAGGGUAGAGGGGUUUGAGGAGCACUCUUGGCUCACUGUCUUUUGAUUUUCUAUCUCUCUAUGUAAGUGACUCAAUUGUAAAUGAAAGACAAAUUACUCUUGAACAUAGAAUCGUGAUUUUUUUUUUUUUUUUGUUUUGGUUGUUAAUUCCCUAGUUAGGUACUGGGGAGAAGGCCCAGUCUAAAAAUUUAAUCUUGCUCAAGGUAAAUGUGAUGGUUAAUUUUAUGUGUCAAUCUAGAUGGUGUUUUGGAUGAGCUUAACAUUUUAAUUGAUAAACUUUGAAAAAGCAGAUUGCUUUCCACAAGGUGAGUGGGCUUAUCUAAUUAAUUGAAGGCCUGAAUAGAACAAAAAGACCAGCCUCUAUGAGCCAGAGGCAUAUUCUCUAGCAGACUGCUUUUGGGCUUUAUCUUCACCAUUGGCUUUCUGGGGUCUUUAGCCUGCUGACCCACACUACAGAUUGGGGUUUGCUAGCCUUCAUAAUUGUGGAAGACAGUUUCUUGUAAUAAAUUUCCUUUUACUUACAUACAUCUGAUUGGCUCUGUUUCUAUGGAGAACCCUAACUAAUAUAAACUUUGGUACUGAGGGGUUCUAGAAAGACUUAAACAUCAAGAAUGGAGAAACCUGACCAAUACAGUAGUAAAUAUAAAUGGAAUUUUGAAAGCUUGAGCCAAUUAACUAAAAGAUGCAAUUAACUAAAAGAUGGCCUUGAAAAUUUGGAAGGUCUGCAACAGACUUCAUGGAUGUCACAAAGUAGGUCCCAGGCUUACGCUGAAGACAUAAAUAGGAACAAUUAAGCUGACACUGCUCCACAUAAUGGGACGUUUAAUGUCAGAAGGCCUGGCGUGUUGAGUCUAUUAUUAUGAGUCCUUGUUAACAAGGGCCACUGGCUGUCCCCAUAGGUAAGCAUAAGGCCAAUCUACCCUUUAUCUCCAAUAUAUCUUUCUAAAACUAAAGAAAUGAGUCAAGUGCAGCAUGGAUCUUCAGCCAUUUUCACCAAAACCUUUUUAAAUGAGCUUGGAAGUCUACAUAUUAUCCCUACUUAAUCUCUCAUCUUAAAUUACCCCAGUCCUGCCACCUGGGUGGCUCAGUCAGUUAAGCAUCCAACUCUUGAUUUCAGCUCAGGUUAUGAUCUCAGGGUAGUGAGAUGGAACACGCCAAAGGGCUCCACAGUGGGCUCCAUGCUGAGUGUGGAACCUAGCUGGGAUUCUUCCUCUCUCCUUCUGCCCCUUCACUCUUGCUUAAGUGUACAGACUCUACAUAAAUAAUGAAAAUUGAAUUACUCCUGUUGUUCUGUCCAUUUUUGCUCACCAGGAAAACCCAUAUAAUCCAAAUAAUUAAGUUUAGCAAAAUUAAAAUGCUCACAAUGUAAAUUUGAACCACUUUCUAUGAUUACAUUCCUGCAAAAAAUUAAAAUCCCAUUAACAAAUUCUCCCUUUCCCUUGAAAAAGUUAAAGACCCAUGACACUAGGCAGCUGGUAGCAUUGGUAGGGGCAUAGUUUGUGACUCUCCAGGAAUCUCCAUGUAAAACUAAACAGAGAGACUAGAUUGCAUCUAAAAUCCCAUGUACAACCCUUUCAAAAAAUAUUAAGAUAACCCUAAAAUUUAAGCAAGUGAAAACAAAUCUUUCACGUGAACGUGACUUCAGGGUUUCAGCAUUUGUGUAGAAAGAAGAAGAGGUAAGAGAUAGUGUCUACUUUACCUGAGAAGAGAAAAAUGUGAAAAUAGCCAGUAAGCAUUUACAGAAAGGCAGGGAGGGUCCAUUUGCAAACAAAAGCUGAAAUCAGAAAGGAUUUUUGUUAGUUGGAAUAGCUUUGAGUACUAGGAGUCCACCAUACAAAGAUGAAGGAUCUGCCCCCAUGUGGCCCCUGAGAACUGUUUUGGUUUCAUUUUUUAAGAUUUUAUUUAUUUAUUUUUGAGAGAGAGCAAGAGAGCAGGAGCACAGGAGUAGGGAGGAGGGGGAGGGGCAGAGGGAGAAGGAGACUUCCCACUGAACUGGGAGCCCAACAGGGCGCUAGAUCCCAGGACCCCAGGAUCGCGACCUGAGUCCAAGGUAGCCACUUAACCGAAUGAGCCACCGUCGGUUGUUUUUUUUUUUUUAUGAAAAUUAAUUGAGAUAUUUAAUAGUGAAAACCAUAAUUUCAUCUGAAUAUAAAUGUAUGCACAUGUUUCCAAUGAGUUAUCUAUCAGUUAUCACAAACAGCAACAAGGACCUUAGAGCUAUGUUAGAAAAAUGUAUAGCUGGGUUUUAACUCUACAAUCUCACUUGCUCUGAAGAGAACACCAUCCAUUUCAAAUUAGUGUCACAAACUCCAAGGCACCUUUUGAAACACACCAACCGAGGGCCCCCUUCCAGGCCAGGGUCCUGCAUUGAAGACAAACUGAUGGAAGCGGAAUCAAAAUUGAGUGGCACAUUGAGAAUGCGGGAGUUACAAGGCCCAGAUCAAAGCAGGAAGGAGACAAAAACAAGAAUCUGCAUAAAGCAAGUGGCUGUAUAAUUAAAUGAAGAAGCUUGGGAGGUUAGAAAGCUCCCUGAAACCCUGCCUCCUGUAAAAAGUUCAGAAAAAUUAAUUUCACAUAAAAAUGAGUAACAGAAAGUGAUUUUGAAGUCAAAUCCCAUACAAAGAUAUUUUGAGAAAAUGAGGGGGCGGGCACUAAGGACGCUGACAUCCUUGAGCAAACACUAUGAAAUAUAUGUGAGACAUACAUCCCCCAAGCUGAUCAAAACCAUAACUUAUUCAUUCAAAAUAAGCCAGAAAACUUAAAGAAAAUGAUACAAGUUUGAAGGAUGAUGUAAAUCAGAACUCAGGAAAAUAUUAGAAAUAAAAGAAAAAAUAUUUCAGCAUUCAAGGCAAAGUUUGAAGAACUUUGAAGGAAUAUAAGAACAAACUUAACAGUUAAUGACUUAAGAGAGUGCAAAAAAUUUAAAAUCAAAAAUAAAGAAAUAGGUAAAAAGAAUUUGAAAGAAAGUGACAAACAUUGAACCUAGACAAAGAUUGUAAUAUGGAUAACCUUAGUUUCGGAAGAAGAACCAAACUAUGUUUGUACACAUAGUUAUAAACAUAGAUAUGAUGAAAAUAGUUUUUACUUUGAUGUUUUCAUUCCUUAACUAUUAACAUCAUUAAUUUAAUUUUAUCACCAAUGUAUUUGCUAAAUUUUAUCAUCAAUUUGAUAAUUUUUUGACAGUCCACUUGGGCAUUCUAAAUCAACAGCCUUGAGAAGUGCUAAUACGGACAACUUUAUGUUUUCAUUGCUAAUACUUAUGACUUUUAUUACACAUACAUUUUUCUGGGUUUAUAACUGGUAUUAAUACAUUACAGUUUUAAAUGGAUAAGGCUGUAGUGGGUUUUUUUCCAAAUUAAAAAAAAUGCUUUUAAUAUUUCAUGGUUAAUGUUUGUAAUAUUUUAGAUGCUCUUUAAAAAGUUAAAUAAAUUCUCUUCUAC